AGUGAACGCUGGCGGCGUGCUUAACACAUGCAAGUCGAACGAGAACGGAUUAUAGCUUGCUAUAAUUGUCAGCUAAGUGGCGCACGGGUGAGUAAUGUAUAGGUAAUAUGCCUCUUACUAAGGGAUAACAAAUGGAAACGUUUGCUAAUACCUUAUACUCCUUAUUAACAGAAGUUAAUAAGGGAAAGAUUUAUUGUUAAGAGAUUAGCCUGUAUUGUAUCAGUUAGUUGGUGGGGUAAUGUCUUACCAAGACUAUGACACAUAACUGGUUUGAGAGGAUGAUCAGUCACACUGGAACUGAAACACGGUCCAGACUCCUACGUGAGGCAGCAGUGGGGAAUAUUGCACAAUGGACGAAAGUCUGAUGCAGCAACGCCGCGUGGAGGAUGACACAUUUCGGUGCGUAAACUCCUUUUAUAUGAGAAGAUAAUGACGGUAUUAUAUGAAUAAGCACCGGCUAACUCCGUGCCAGCCGCCGCCGUAA
This 484-nucleotide ribosomal RNA is filed under the name uncultured bacterium. RNAcentral's name for it is "partial 16S ribosomal RNA". It matches the Rfam family "Bacterial small subunit ribosomal RNA", at positions 29 to 523 of the family's 1533-position model. The record is from RNAcentral.